CGUGGGAAAUCUAGAGAUACUGCUUGUCUUGAGACCGGGAGAGGUUGGAGGUACUCCCAGGGUAGGGGUGAAAUCCUGUAAUCCUGGGGGGACCACCUGUGGCGAAGGCGUCCAACUGGAACGGGUCUGACGGUGAGGGACGAAACCUAGGGGAGCGAGCCGGAUUAGAUACCCGGGUAGUCCUAGGCGUAAAUGAUGCGAGUUAAGUGUGGGGGCAUCCACGAGAUGGCCCUGUGCUGUAGGGUAGCCGUUAAACUCGCCGCCUGGGGAGUACGGUCGCAAGGCUGAAACUUAAAGGAAUUGGCGGGGGAGCACCACAAGAGGUGGAGGCUGCGGUUCAAUUGGACUCAACGCCGGAAAACUCCCCGGGAGCGACAGCGGUAUGCUUGCCAGGUUGAUGACCUUGCUUGACAAGCUGAGAGGAGGUGCA
This 430-nucleotide ribosomal RNA is filed under the name uncultured archaeon. Its description in RNAcentral is "bacterial SSU rRNA". It matches the Rfam family "Archaeal small subunit ribosomal RNA", at positions 565 to 994 of the family's 1478-position model. The record is from RNAcentral.